UUAUCAUUUAGAGGAAGGAGAAGUCGUAACAAGGUUUCCGUAGGUGAACCUGCGGAAGGAUCAUUGUCGAAACCUGCCCAGCAGAAAGACCCGCGAACAUGUUCACCUCGACGUGCGGGGAGGGGUGCCUCGGCCCCCCGCCCCGAGCCGGGAGCAACCCCCGGCGCAGCAACGAAACCCCGGCGCGAACCGCGCCAAGGAACACGAACUCAUGGCGUGCCCGCCCGCGCCCGGUCCGCCGGCGCGCGGGGGCGGCACCUGUCCCUACUUAGAAACGUAACGACUCUCGGCAACGGAUAUCUCGGCUCUCGCAUCGAUGAAGAACGUAGCGAAAUGCGAUACUUGGUGUGAAUUGCAGAAUCCCGUGAACCAUCGAGUCUUUGAACGCAAGUUGCGCCCGAAGCCUUCCGGCCGAGGGCACGUCUGCCUGGGCGUCACGCAUCGCGCCUCCCCCCCGCCCGCCGGGGGGGAAGGAUGAUGGCCUCCCGYGCCCCCAGCCGGGGCGCGGCUGGCCCAAAACGGGAGCCCGCGGGGACGCGCUGCGGCGGCGACUGGUGGUGGACGAGGCCUUGAGUGGCCACCGUUUGCAUCGCGCCGCGCACGCACGCCGCCGGGAGGGGCUCGUCGGACCCUAAGGUGUGCUGAAGGCACAAAACCGUUGCGACCCCAGGUCAGGCGGGGCUACCCGCUGAGUUU
RNAcentral lists this ribosomal RNA (696 nucleotides) under Rhipsalis oblonga. Its description in RNAcentral is "eukaryotic LSU rRNA". The stretch from base 282 to 437 matches the Rfam family "5.8S ribosomal RNA". Lineage: Eukaryota; Viridiplantae; Streptophyta; Magnoliopsida; Caryophyllales; Cactaceae. The record is from RNAcentral.